Rhinolophus ferrumequinum (greater horseshoe bat) is the source of this 572-nucleotide long non-coding RNA. RefSeq lists it as uncharacterized. NCBI's taxonomy places the organism in Eukaryota, Metazoa, Chordata, Mammalia, Chiroptera, Rhinolophidae. The transcript has 3 exons. The record is from RefSeq and is a predicted model, not a curated record.
AGCCUCGGAGGACCCAAGUGGGACCGGGGGCGGAGAAGGAAAUUCUGGGUAGCAUCUGUGCCUCACCACGGUCUGCUGGAUGGGAGAUCAGAAGCUCUGGGUAAUUCAGUUCCGGGGGAGGAGGAAAAACAAGACAAAUCUCCACUUGCCCAUCUAUAGAACAGGACCAGCCCCACCAUUCAGUGUAACAGGAGACAUCCUGGCACCUGGGUGAGCUUUCUCCGGAAAGGGAGGUUGGUCUGCCGCCCCCUCCCUCUGUGCUGGUGACGUUUUUCCCCUCAUGGAGACUGCAGAUUGCUAAUAUUGAGAAGAACUGUCCUCCUGGGCUCAUGGCUUCUUCCUGUGUCUUCAAGGCCGUCAGCACAGCAUCUAGCUUCAGAGAAAGAAGAGGGAGAUUUGAGACACAGACACAGAGCAGGUCAUAUGAAGACAGAGAAUGCAGAGACUGGGGUGAUGCAGCCACAAGCCAAGGAUUGCCAGGAGCCCCCAGAAGCUGGGAGACGAAGGAAGGACCUUCCCUUGGAGCCUACAGAGGGAGCUUGGCUCUGCCAAUACCUUAAUUUCAGACUUUU